RNAcentral lists this ribosomal RNA (62 nucleotides) under Capnobotryella sp. MA 4775. Its description in RNAcentral is "5.8S ribosomal RNA". It matches the Rfam family "5.8S ribosomal RNA", at positions 1 to 61 of the family's 154-position model. Rfam says of the family: 5.8S ribosomal RNA (5.8S rRNA) is a component of the large subunit of the eukaryotic ribosome. It is transcribed by RNA polymerase I as part of the 45S precursor that also contains 18S and 28S rRNA. Lineage: Eukaryota; Fungi; Ascomycota; Dothideomycetes; Mycosphaerellales; Teratosphaeriaceae. The record is from RNAcentral.
AAACUUUCAACAACGGAUCUCUUGGUUCUGGCAUCGAUGAAGAACGCAGCGAAAUGCGAUAA